This is a small nucleolar RNA of Elaeis guineensis (African oil palm), 129 nucleotides long. RefSeq annotates it as small nucleolar RNA snoR74. NCBI's taxonomy places the organism in Eukaryota, Viridiplantae, Streptophyta, Magnoliopsida, Arecales, Arecaceae. The record is from RefSeq and is a predicted model, not a curated record.
AGAAAAGCAGGGGCCUGUUUCCUUCAUAAAUGGGCCUCUCGUAAACUUUAGGGAGAUCGUAUACAUUGUUAUUGGGUGAACCUUUUGGCUUUGUUUAUGACAAAAGGUUCAGUAAACAAUGGAACAUUG